RNAcentral lists this ribosomal RNA (433 nucleotides) under uncultured bacterium. RNAcentral's name for it is "partial 16S ribosomal RNA". It matches the Rfam family "Bacterial small subunit ribosomal RNA", at positions 29 to 507 of the family's 1533-position model. The record is from RNAcentral.
AACGACCGCUGGCGGCAUGCCUAACACAUGCAAGUCGAACGAGACCUUCGGGUCUAGUGGCGCACGGGUGCGUAACGCGUGGGAACCUGCCCUUAGGUUCGGAAUAACUCCCCGAAAGGGGUGCUAAUACCGGAUAAUGUCUUCGGACCAAAGAUUUAUCGCCCUUGGAUGGGCCCGCGUUGUAUUAGCUAGUUGGUAGGGUAAAAGCCUACCAAGGCGACGAUCCAUAGCUGGUCUGAGAGGAUGAUCAGCCACACUGGGACUGGGACACGGCCCAGACUCCUACGGGAGGCAGGAGUGGGGAAUAUUGGACAAAGGGCGAAAGCAUGAUCCAGCAAUGGCGCGUGAGUGCUGAAGGCCUUAGGGUUGUAAAGCGCUUUUAACCGGGAUGAUAAUGACAGUACCGGGAGAAUAAGCUCCGGCUAACUCCGUG